CGUGAGGAACCUGCCUCAAAGAGGGGGACAACAGUUGGAAACGACUGCUAAUACCGCAUAAGCCCACGGGUCGGCAUCGACCAGAGGGAAAAGGAGCAAUCCGCUUUGAGAUGGCCUCGCGUCCGAUUAGCUAGUUGAUGAGGUAACGGCCCACCAAGGCAACGAUCGGUAGCCGGACUGAGAGGUUGAACGGCCACAUUGGGACUGAGACACGGCCCAGACUCCUACGGGAGGCAGCAGUGGGGAAUAUUGCACAAUGGGGGAAACCCUGAUGCAGCGACGCCGCGUGGAGGAAGAAGGUCUUCGGAUUGUAAACUCCUGUUGUUGAGGAAGAUAAUGACGGUACUCAACAAGGAAGUGACGGCUAACUACGUGCC
This 377-nucleotide ribosomal RNA is filed under the name uncultured bacterium. RNAcentral describes it as "bacterial SSU rRNA". It matches the Rfam family "Bacterial small subunit ribosomal RNA", at positions 116 to 509 of the family's 1533-position model. The record is from RNAcentral.